AUUGAACGCUGGCGGCAUGCCUUACACAUGCAAGUCGAACGGCAGCACGGGUGCUUGCACCUGGUGGCGAGUGGCGAACGGGUGAGUAAUACAUCGGAACAUGUCCUGUAGUGGGGGAUAGCCCGGCGAAAGCCGGAUUAAUACCGCAUACGAUCUACGGAUGAAAGCGGGGGACCUUCGGGCCUCGCGCUAUAGGGUUGGCCGAUGGCUGAUUAGCUAGUUGGUGGGGUAAAGGCCUACCAAGGCGACGAUCAGUAGCUGGUCUGAGAGGACGACCAGCCACACUGGGACUGAGACACGGCCCAGACUCCUACGGGAGGCAGCAGUGGGGAAUUUUGGACAAUGGGCGAAAGCCUGAUCCAGCAAUGCCGCGUGUGUGAAGAAGGCCUUCGGGUUGUAAAGCACUUUUGUCCGGAAAGAAAUCCUUGGCCCUAAUACGGUCGGGGGAUGACGGUACCGGAAGAAUAAGCACCGGCGAACUACGUG
This 486-nucleotide ribosomal RNA is filed under the name uncultured bacterium. Its description in RNAcentral is "partial 16S ribosomal RNA". It matches the Rfam family "Bacterial small subunit ribosomal RNA", at positions 30 to 507 of the family's 1533-position model. The record is from RNAcentral.